Molecule: long non-coding RNA, 2018 nt
Organism: Ostrea edulis (European flat oyster)
Lineage: Eukaryota; Metazoa; Mollusca; Bivalvia; Ostreida; Ostreidae
Exons: 2
Source: RefSeq, a predicted model, not a curated record
AAACACACAAUUAUCAAAGAUUGUUUUUUCGUUAAUCAGAUCUAGGCCUAGCGUAUAUGACUUAUGUAAUAUUCAUGACAAAAUGCUGUGAUUACAUGCCUUUCUUUCCGUUGGAUGUGGUGGUUACAGACUUCCUGUCAGUGUUGUAAUACACACACACGUACUUCCUGUCAUCAUCAUCCUCUCAUCGUCCCGAAUUAAAAUUUCGAACGUGGUCAUUUGGUUACAUUUUCCAUCAAAGAUCAUACAAAUUAUGAUGAAACUAUUUACAUGGAUAGUCACAUCAUGAUUGAGACUGGGUCACUAGGCUAAAUACUCCGGGAUGCAGCAUGAUGAAAGUCAACGUCGGAAACCCACGGUUGAUUACACUUCGUUCCUCUCUCCAUCAUCCGUGGGUCCAUUCAUUCCUACUCAUUCCGACGAUGGAUGAAAGUCAGAAUAAACAAAGAAACUUCAGGGUAAUUAAUCCACAUUGUAACAGGGAGAAAAUGCAACGAACCAGACCGGGAUCUGUACCCGGGCCUCCUGAAUCUCUAGUCAGGAGCUUUAUCAACUGAGCUGUCUACCUGGACACCGGCGAUCGAACUCGGCUGACCGCUACAAUCAGUCCGAGUCCGAGUGUAUGAGCUGGCCUAAAAUGAGAAAAAUCAGAAGAUGCUAGGAAAAGAAUAUCACUGAUAAUGCAAAGUAGAGCAACAAUACAUUUGUAAACUCCUAUGUAGAUCACAUUUUAUUAAGGAUGUACUCUACAUCGUCAUAAUGUCUGACUUCCUUUUAAAACAUGGAUGAAAAUAUAAAUUUGAGCAAUAUUUGCCUAUUCAUUUAAAAUAAAUCACCUAGCUGAGUAACUAAGUAGGUCAGCACGUCGACUACUAACCGGUAGAUCGCGGGUUCGAAUCCAGCAGGAGUUUUAUUAAAUUUUUUCAGACUGCUUUUUAUUAAAACUGCAUUUUUGGACUAAUUAAGUAAAUCUGAAAGUUUUCAAUUUCAAAAAUUUUUUGUACAUAUCCCCCACUUCUCAUUCGUAUCAAAUUUCUCUGGUGUAGCAUACCUCAUUAAAUGUUCAGUGCAUCCUAUGUACUGAAGUACUUUUUAUUUACGACAUUUAAAACAUGUACUUCAGUACACAAUGUGUAGCGUGGAGAGGUGCGUUGAACAUCCACAAUAUAUGUGUAAUUUUGACGGGGAAAUGUCAUUUUUUUAAUUCAUCAAUAAAAAAAAAAUGUUUAGCACUUAAAGUCAAAUUAUGUGAUUGGUCAUGGAAAACGUGAAGAUAACGAACAGUGAUGAAUCUCGUAACGCCUAUAAGCAAUACAAAAGAGUUUGACAAACACAGGCCCCUGGAUAUACCAGAGGUGGAAUCAGGUGCCUAGGAGAAGUAAGCAUCCCCUGUCGACCGGUCUAAUAUUAAACCUUUAUUGCGAAAGACAUACAUCCUAUAGCAUUAUAACAAAAUUGAACAUGGAUAAUAAUUACAAAGCUGAAAAUAAACGGCCAAUUCUUACAAAGACAUCUAGCAUACAAUAGUAUAUAGUAAAUACAAUAGUAUAAUGAUAAUAAAAAAAGGGGGAGAAUGACGAUACAAAUUACAUAUUAUGGACUGUUCUUAGUUCAAGAGCUUUACAAUAAAUUUUCCUGAGUUACAAAGUUCUUUAACAUUGUUCACACUUAAUUGUUGUACAUGUAUAAAUUUGAACAUGGAGGGUUUACUCCAGUAAUACUUUUUCACUAACAUGGUUCUAAUCUGACAAUAUACAGGACAGACUAACAAAAAGUGGUAUUCAUCCUCAAUUUCAGUGAUACAUGUUUUACAAAACCUUAUUUUAAUGUCUGCCAGUUUCUAUGGAUAAAUUAUGUGAUGAUAACCUUAUUUUGGAAAUACCCUUUUUGUACAAUUUAGGAAUAGAUUUUUCUAGGUAAUAUUGCAAGCAAAAAUUAUCAACCAAAUGUUUGUAAAUAGUGCAUUUUGAUUCAUACUGCAUGUUGCUAUGUAAAUUUUGAAUAAAAUUAUGUUUCAA